UACAGAGGUGGCAAGCGUUGUUCGGAAUUACUGGGCGUAAAGGGCGCGUAGGCGGCCUUCUAAGUCAGACGUGAAAUCCCCCGGCUUAACCUGGGAACUGCGUCUGAUACUGGAAGGCUUGAGUGCGGGAGAGGGAUGUGGAAUUCCAGGUGUAGCGGUGAAAUGCGUAGAUAUCUGGAAGAACACCGGUGGCGCAAGCGGAUUGCUGGGCCAUAACUGACACUGAGGAACGAAAGCUAGGGUAGCGAAUGGG
RNAcentral lists this ribosomal RNA (253 nucleotides) under uncultured bacterium. RNAcentral describes it as "partial 16S ribosomal RNA". It matches the Rfam family "Bacterial small subunit ribosomal RNA", at positions 524 to 776 of the family's 1533-position model. The record is from RNAcentral.